RNAcentral lists this ribosomal RNA (253 nucleotides) under uncultured bacterium. RNAcentral describes it as "partial 16S ribosomal RNA". It matches the Rfam family "Bacterial small subunit ribosomal RNA", at positions 524 to 776 of the family's 1533-position model. The record is from RNAcentral.
UACAGAGGUCUCAAGCGUUGUUCGGAUUCAUUGGGCGUAAAGGGUGCGUAGGCGGUCGUGCAAGUCGGAUGUGAAAUCUCAGGGCUCAACCCUGAAACUGCAUUCGAUACUGCGCGGCUAGAGUGCUGGAGGGGAGACUGGAAUUUACGGUGUAGCAGUGAAAUGCGUAGAUAUCGUAAGGAAGACCGGUGGCGAAGGCGAGUCUCUGGACAGCAACUGACGCUGAGGCACGAAGGCCAGGGGAGCAAACGGG